GGUGGCUCAAUGGUAGAGCGCUUGCCUUACAUGCAUGAAGCCCUGGGUUCGAUUCCUCAGCACCA
This 65-nucleotide transfer RNA is filed under the name Dipodomys ordii (Ord's kangaroo rat). It matches the Rfam family "tRNA". From Rfam's summary of the family: Transfer RNA (tRNA) molecules are approximately 80 nucleotides in length. The record is from Rfam by way of RNAcentral. Lineage: Eukaryota; Metazoa; Chordata; Mammalia; Rodentia; Heteromyidae.